RNAcentral lists this long non-coding RNA (4884 nucleotides) under Triticum aestivum (bread wheat). Its description in RNAcentral is "long non-coding RNA (TAES_LNC000130)". Lineage: Eukaryota; Viridiplantae; Streptophyta; Magnoliopsida; Poales; Poaceae. The record is from RNAcentral.
UUAUUUCUUUUCUUUUUAUUUAUUCUUUCUUGUUUUAUUUUAGUUAUAUUUUAUUUUAGUUUCUUUAAAAUACUAAGUUAGCACCUAAAUUAGUAUCAUCAAAAUAGGCCACUGCCAAACCUAGUUUCGACUCAAAAUAAAUUAGUUUAAUAUUUUUUAUACUUUCAAAGGCAAUUAAAUUAUUAUUUUAGCCACUAUUUUGAAUUAGUUUAGGGCAUUUAAACACAUUGUAAAAGGUGGGUUCCACCACCAAAACUAGUUAGGUAUUAUUUGCCACAUGAUGAACAUUUUAGUUUUAAUAUUUGAAAACUUUUAUUGUUUGGUUGAUUUUGAAUCGGUUUCGAACUGACGCGAGAUUAGCAACAGUAAUCGAAGUGAUGUGGCAUCAUUAGCAGAGGGUUGCUGUAGUUUAAUUAUCCGGGCGUCACAAAUCUCCUCUACUACAAGAAAUCUCGUCCCGAGAUUUAAGAGAUGGAGUACGGGGGAAGUUCUGGUUACGAAAUUCUAACGGAACUUCUCGGCCUUGGUUGCUCUUCUCGAAGAGGUCUAUCCCUUACAUUGACGUCUUCAUUUCCCUGCUUCAGGUCAUCAUGGUGAAGUCGUCCUUUUCUUCGGGAACUCCAAUGUACUUACGAAUAGGUAAGGGGCAGCUCGACUAUGACAGAAUGCUUAUGAGGGAAACAAUCUGGGGUUAACCCAUGAAUGUGCAUAAUUUUAUCUCUCUAGUUGAACAUAUAAAAUACAUCGAGAGUAAGGUACGAAGGUACAAUAAGAGGUUCCAAGCAGAUAGAUACUUGCUCGAAGUCUGAACCAGAGUGAGAAAGGGGUUCAGAGCAGCGAGAGUAAGUAUUGCAUCUGAUAUCAGAAUAGAGCACUAGGAAGGUGGCCCGUGAAUUAAAUACGAAGCCAAGCAUGGGGAAUAACCAUUAGAAACAGGAUUGUACAGGAGAGUCAGGUUUCGAUCCAGUGGAACUAUGGGUUAUGGGCCCACCAUGUGGGUUAAGGUAAGAGGGGCGGCGACAUCUUGCGCGGUCAUGAUAGCAAGGUAUGUCCGAAAAUAGUCUGUCAGUUAUGUCGCCAACAACGUCGGUGCCAAGGGCGAGGGACAAAGAGAACCAUUUUCCUGCUCGUUGAACGAGGCGGACCAAUAGGCAAAGUUCUCGUCCAUGGGUGGUUACCGGAAUGUCAUCAACAGUAGAAACAGGGUCCCACUGACAGAGUUGUACAUCGAGGUGUUUACAUAAGCAGUGAAUUAUUACUGCUUAGAUCAUAUAGAUCACAAGAAAGGUUAAACAAACCGAUGGAAUGGAAGAUGUGCUCAUCAGACUAAACAGAACAAUGGAAAGGAAAAUGUGUUUAAACACAUAUUUCAGGGGUAUAUCCUUCCCAAGGACAAGCAUAGCCUGAUUUCCAUGGCAUGAUAGAACGUGAAAACCAUGUAGGUAAGGGGAGAGGACUUUUCAUGACAUUACCCAUACAACGGUGUUUGGAUGAUUGAUAAAGAAAAUUUAGUAUUUGCUUCAAGUGUUCUCAUUGAAGAUCAGAGUACCACAGACAUGCUUCGAGAUAGCAUUGACAUGGUCUUCAAGCAAUGGUCGGACUUUGGAUACAAGAAGAAUUCGUCAGGAACAACUUGUAGAAUAAGUCUUACAUUUCCCUCAUGGCAGAAUGGGUAAGUUUGCUGAAAAGGAAACUAUAACAAUAGGGCCUCUGGCCAAGUGUGCUAGGCAUGACAUCACCUUACCGGGUCAUUUAAAGACCAAUGUUAUAACUCUGGGAAAUAUGUUCCAACCAUCAUAUCUGACCGAGAUUCAGAUCCAAUUGGGGUCAAAAUAUCUCAGACUCAGGAUGCGUGAGAAGAAAUGGUGCAACACAGAUUGAGGAGAUGACAUUGUAAGAUUCUCGGAAAAUGAACAAUGGAAGCAAAUUCUGAAACAAGCGUUCAUCAUUAAAUCAAGGAGAGGGGAGGAGAUGGCUGGUGGACUCAGUGCUAAUUAAUUGAGAUUUCCAAAAAGAUGGAUUUCCUAAUUAUAUGAACAAAGAGAUAACAUUUGCCAGAUCAAAUGAUAUAAUGAUGUAUGCUCGAGGAAAGCAUACAUAAUUAACAUUGGUUGAAGGGUGCACCCAAAAUAUGGGCUUAGGUAGCAUGAUCAAGGUUAGAAUGGUGAUUCCAUGACCAAUGGUCUAAGAGUGAAAUGUUGACCAUUAACUUCAAAGCAAUAGGGUCGCUAGAAGUACAGAAUCCAAGCAGCACUGCUCACUUGUUGGUGUCCCGGUUAGAAUCAACACGGGGACCAAGAAAGAAUGGUGAUGGUGUGAAGUAUCAUAAUAUCAAGAAUUAUUAAAGAGGUGGAGCAAUUCUCACAACAUCCUUGAUAUAAAAGAUGAAAAUAAUCCAAGGUGGAACAUAACAAAAGCUGGAUAGCAAGGAGCUCCAUAACAUGAACAAGUUUGGGUUGGAGGGAAGGCAAUAAUGUUGUUGAUGAUAACACAAAUCACCGAGGGGAAAGGAUGGUAUUUCUCAUCAAGAAUUCGAUUAUUAUUCUUGAAGAGCUCAGAAUGUUGAUGAUGUUCAUGACAUAUUUGUCGCGAGAUUUCAAGAAUAUGUAAUCGAUCGGCGACGACAUCAAGUCAAAGGAAUGAUGAAACGAAAGGUUAUUGGAACCAAUGGUACGACACAAACUCGAAAUCAAGCUUGCUGUCCAAGGUGAAAUGAUACGACGAGGAAGAUCGGCGUAAGAUUAGCUCAUCGUUGAAAGUUGUGCUCCGGGAUUAAGGACCAAGUAGCAUAGUUUAAAAUUUAGUAAGAUAAUGAUGUAACUAAUUAGGCUAGGAAUGACUCAUAGGAUUAUUAAACUCCUCAACAACAAAGUACUGAUUUUUUUUACUUCUCAACAUGGAGGGCUAAUAUAUUGACAACGUACAUUAUAUUUCUAAAAUCCUAGCCCGCGCAUCGAGCGGGCCACUAUGCUAGUUAUCCAGAAUAGUGUAUGCUGACGUCAUCAUGAUGUCAGCAUGACAUCAGCAGUCAACAGGGCGUUGACUGGGUCAAUCUGACGUGUGGGUCCUGCAUGUCAUACUCUGUUUAUUCUAAUUAGGGUUGAACUAAUCUUAUCACUGUUUAAUUAACUAACAAUAUUUAAUUAGGUUAACUAAACAUGAUUAAUUAAGUUAAUUAAUUAAUUAAUUAAAUUUAUUUUUAUUAUUUAUUUAUUUUUAAUCUUUUUUUAAAAACGUUGCAAGGCGGUGGGGCCCCUUUGUCAUAGGCACCUGGGGGCUUAACGAAGCGGGCUAACGGGCGCGGGCGAGGCUGCCCGAGCGGGCGCACGCCCAGGUGCGGCGGACCCGGCAAGGUGCUGGAGGAGGGGAGGUCGGUGGCCACGACGAGGCCAUUGCCGGAGCGGGUUCGGUCGGCGGGUGGCGAUGUGAUUGCAGAGGCGGGGCGGAGCUGAGGGAUUGAAGCGGGGCGAGGGGAGGAGGGGCGGCACGCUGGCCGUGGCCGGUGGAGAAGCGGUUGCGGGGAGGUGCGUCGGGCAAGGGGCAGCAGGGGGAAACGGCGGCGAUGUACAUGACGGGUGCGUCGCUGGGUAGCGAUCGACGCGGCGGCGUGUAGGCGGCUGCGGGGUGCGGAGAGGGGCUGCAGCAGGUGAGGCCUGGUGCGUCGCGGUCGUGCCGCGUGGAGGUGAGGCGGGGCGCAGGUCGUCGCCAAUGAGCGAGCGGCAGCCGGCGGAGAUGGACGGAACGGGCGCCGUGGCUGCAGGUUUGGGCGGAGCAGUGGGCGGUGGCAUGUGCGAUCGUCGAUGGGGGAGAGGGAGGAGAUAAGGCCGGAGCCUCACCGCGGGCCGUAGGGUCAGGGUAGCGGUUGUCGAGGAGGGGGACGGGGACGACACGCGGUGGGGAGUAGAUCCGGUACGGAAGCGUUCCGGCGACGUGGUGGCGGUGACGAAGGGCAACGGCAUCGGGUCGGCGAUGAGGCGAGGCCGUGGCUUCAGGCGGGAGCUUCACGAGGAAGUGGAGGGGCGCGGAGGAGUCCGGGAGGGGCGGCACCGGCGGCAGCUGGCGGCGGCCCUAGCGGAGCGGCGGCUUGCAUCAGGCGUGGGCGUGCGGGAGGAGGGGAUCGAACAGGAGCGCCCUUCCUCCGCGCGUCGGUGUGUGUGUGUGUGUGUGUGUGUGUGCGUCGUGGGUGGCGGCGUAGGGAGGAAUCAGGGGAGAGUGGGGGGAUCGUGCGGGAGAGAGUGGGGGUUACGGGUUAGGGUUUCCCCCGGAGUGGGGAUAUGGAGGAGGGGAGUGGGGCGCCGGCUGGGCCGUGUGGGUGGGCUGCCCGACUGGGCCGGCCAGUUGGCCUAGGCCCAAAGGUAGUGGGGUGGUUUUAGUAUUUUUGCCUUUCCAUUUUAUUUUUGUUUUAUUUCUUUUCUUUUUAUUUAUUCUUUCUUGUAUUAUUUUAGUUAUAUUUUAUUUUAGUUUCUUUAAAAUACUAAGUUAGCACCUAAAUUAGUAUCAUCAAAAUAGGCCAGUGCCAAACCUAGUUUCGACUCAAAAUAAAUUAGUUUAAUAUUUUUUAUACUUUCAAAGGCAAUUAAAUUAUUAUUUUAGCCACUAUUUUGAAUUAGUUUAGGGCAUUUAAACAUUUUGUAAAAGGUGGGUUCCACCACCAAAACUAGUUAGGGAUUAUUUGCCACAUGAUAAACACUUUGUAAAAGGAUGGUAUUUCUCAUCAAGAAUUCGGUUAUUAUUCUUGAAGAGCUCAGAAUGUUGAUGAUGUUCAUGACAUAUUUGUCGCGAGAUUUCAAGAAUAUGUAAUCGAUCGGCGACGACAUCAAGUCAAAGGAAUGAUGAAACGAAAGGUUAUUGGAACCAAUGGUACGACACAAACUCGAAAUCAAG